ACUGCCUAGGGAUGAGCUCACGCCUGAUUAGCUUGUUGGUAAGGUAAUGGCUUACCAAGGCCACGAUCAGUAGCUGGUUUGAGAGAACGAUCAGCCACACUGGGACUGAGACACGGCCCAGACUCCUCCGGGAGGCAGCAGUGAGGAAUUUUCCGCAAUGGGCGAAAGCCUGACGGAGCAAUACCGCGUGAGGGAUGAAGGAUUUUGGUCUGUAAACCUCUUUUCUCAAGAAAGAAGUUCUGACGGUACUUGAGGAAUAAGCACCGGCUAACUCCGUGCCAGCAGCCGCGGUAAUACGGGGGGUGCAAGCGUUAUCCGGAUUUAUUGGGCGUAAAGCGCCUGUAGGUUGUUUAAUAAGUCUGUUGUUAAAGACUAGGGCUUAACCCUAGGAAAGCAAUGGAAACUACUAGACUUGAGUAUGAUAGGGGUAGAGGGAAUUUCUAGUGUAGCGGUGAAAUGCGUAGAUAUUCUGAGGAAUACCGGUGGCGAAGGCGGCCCCCUGGAUUGAUACUGACACUGAGGCGCGAAAGCGUGGGGAGCAAACAGGAUUAGAUACCCUGGUAGUCCACGCCGUAAACGAUGUCUACUAGCCGUUGGGAGGCUUGACCUCUUAGUGGCGAAGCUAACGCGAUAAGUAGACCGCCUGGGGAGUACGGUCGCAAGAUUAAAACUCAAAUGAAUUGACGGGGGCCCGCACAAGCGGUGGAGCAUGUGGUUUAAUUCGACAACGCGAAGAACCUUACCAAGGCUUGACAUACUACAGAUUUCUUUGAAAGAGGAAAGUGCCUUCGGGAAUGUAGAUACAGGUGGUGCAUGGCUGUCGUCAGCUCGUGUCGUGAGAUGUUGGGUUAAGUCCCGCAACGAGCGCAACCCUUAUUUUUAGUUGCUAAUUUAUUUUAGGUUUUCUAGAAAGACUGCCGGUGACAAACCGGAGGAAGGUGAGGAUGACGUCAAGUCAGCAUGCCCCUUAUGCCUUGGGCUACACACGUGCUACAAUGGUUAAGACAAAGAGUUGCGAGCUCGUGAGAGUCAGCUAAUCUCAUAAACUUAGCCUAAGUUCGGAUUGUAGGCUGCAACUCGCCUGCAUGAAGUCGGAAUCGCUAGUAAUCGCUGGUCAGCCAUACAGCGGUGAAUCCGUUCCCGGGCCUUGUACACACCGCCCGUCACACCAUGGGAGCUGGUCAUGCCCGAAACCGUUUGCUUAACCUUUUUGGAGAGCGGCGUCUAAGGUA
This 1232-nucleotide ribosomal RNA is filed under the name Phaeocystis antarctica. RNAcentral describes it as "partial Bacterial small subunit ribosomal RNA". It matches the Rfam family "Bacterial small subunit ribosomal RNA", at positions 214 to 1464 of the family's 1533-position model. Lineage: Eukaryota; Haptophyta; Phaeocystales; Phaeocystaceae. The record is from RNAcentral.